UUGGAGCACUGUCUAUUAAAUGGGGAACAUUAUUACUUAAAAUUUGAACUUAGAACACGCCUGAAGUGGUGCAGCCAAUCGGCUACCGCUCGGAGUGCCCCAUAAUCAAUUUAAAAGCAAACAAAAAAAAAAAAUCAAAGCCAACUACAGAUUAUCGUCCAGCAAAAUUUCAACUGGGGCAAUGAUAUAACAUUCGGUGUUUGAUUUGAGACUGAAUCAUGAUUCUAAGAAUUCACUACUAUGCUUUUAAUGGUGACAUUAGCAUCUAUUUAAAUAGACAUAAUAUUUAAAAUAUAAUGCCUAAGAAGAAAAGAUAAUUUCAUUUCUUAAUUCUAUGGCUUUUCUGUUGCUGUCGAGAACUUCAUAAAUCAAGGGAGUACAUAUCAAACUUCACAAGAUAUCUGCUUCACCAUGUAAGGUGUUUGAUUUGUCUUUUUCUUUGAGUGAAGGAGUCUGAUUUCUCAACAUCAUAGAGAAGUUGCCUUGGCAAUACAAACUUCUUGAAAAGAAAAAAAAAAAGAGAGAAAAACGGCAAUACAAUCCCCAGAGUUUUCUUUUAUUCUUUUCCCUAAGGUUUUCCUAAUCUAUUUUAUAAUAAUUUCAUUGAAAAAAAAUAAAAUCAGUGGACUGAAAACUAAGCCUCAAAGCUGUCCCAUCUCUCACCAGCCUAACCAAAUGCAUCCUGAACAAAAGUAAGUGGUUAGUGGUGCGGGUGAGUGCCACCCCUUGGUCCGAGACAUUCGAGCCAUGAUAUGUGGUGGGGUUGCCUUUCGGGCUAUACAUAUUUACAGAGAGACCAACGGAGCUGUAGAUUGGGUGGCUCCGUACGUAGCCAAUCACUCCAUAGACACCCUUUGGGUUGGAAAGAGCGAGCUGCCUGAUGCGCUCUGAAAUAUGCUGUAUUUUGACUUUUUUGAAUAUAUUCGUACUAAAAUUAUAUGAAUCAUCCAUUCAAAUAAAAGAAAAAAUAGAAGUAAGUGGUGGGUUGGCUGAUUUUUUCGCUCCAGCUUUCAGAGAGAAAAUGAACAAUUUACCCCCUUUUGAUAUCCUGUCCGGACCAAGAUUGCCACUCCGCACUUUCAGUAAUUGGUAGGUCUAUGUACAUUUGGAAGUGAAAAAGAAGUAAAACUAUGUUUCUGAAGCAGGAAUUAGAGGUGGUUAUAUAAAAAUAGUGGAGACCUGUAUGAAGCAUAUGAGAAACCAUAAAGAAACAAUUGAAAAACAAGUUGGCAACGCCCUUAUUUUUCAUGCAUCUCCUUAGCUUGACCAGCUAUUUUACAGUCGCAUCUACUAUAGAAGUCACUUAUGCAUCUCCUUUUGAAAAUGAAACAUUUCAAAAAGUAGAAUCUAGCAUUGUAAACUAUUAUGCACUAUAGAAGUCAUCCAUGGAAACAAAGAGAGAAGGGAAUGCAUGCUUGCAAACACUGUUGAAAGCCAAACAAGAAAACCUCCUUUAAAUAUGCACAGUCGGAGGCUAAAGGAUUCAGGUCCUUACGUUCGCAGUCACAAUUACUCGCAGGACUUCACAAAAAGGAGGAGAUUCCAUGCGAAUGGUUUAUUUCCUCUACUCAAAAAGAUGCUUUUAUCCCUCACAAUAUUGCACAGCUAGAUGCUGCAUAGAUGCACUCGCUUUCAAGAAUGAGGUCAGGGUUCAAGUCUUGAAGUGGUGUUAUCCCUCACAUUCACAUUGAUGCAGCAUGCCUCAGCCACAGAUCCCUCAUGGUGAGACUUCAAAUAGAUUGGUUCUUCUGACAAAGUAAGAUGUACCAUGUCCAAAUGAUGCUUGGGCUUUUAAUAAUGUUACUUUAUCCAUGUCCUCAUGGAAGUAUCUUUUGUGCCAAUGAAAACUUUACCAGCAUAAGAUUGAUGCGGCUUAAGAUUUUUCUUCAGUACAUAAACCUAAAUUACAGAUAAAAUCGUGAUCACGGUGUCAGAGUGUUUCCUAUACCUUCUACAAAAGAAAGAUCCAUCAAAAUUUCUUGGCCAUUUAAAAUAAAUUGCACAUUCACUGAAAUGCAAAUAUUACCUACGACUAGGCUUUUAAUUUUGAAUGCAGCAUUACAAUACUAGCAGAUGUCAGUUGGUGAUGUCAACCAAGUGUGUUAACAUAUGCAUGUCGCUAGAAAGAAAACAUUUCCAUAAAAGAUAUGAAGAGAAGAAAAGCAUGCAUCUCCACCAUGGUUCAAAGUUACAAGACAGGUUAUCUAAAUUUUCUCACAACAAAUGAACCUGUCUGGAAUUAAAGUAGAGAGUUUACUUUUGAUAUCCAUUUUGGAGGACGGGGGAUGGUACAAAAACAGGUUGCACAAAAAUGAUCAAAUCUCUCACAUGACAACCUGUAAUGUGAAUGGUUUCGUAGUUCAAAGAGUAAGAACACCAACUGAUGCUGUAAUACUAAAUGAGCCACCAAUAUGACAUCUACAUAUCAAGAGGCUUGGCAGAGUAGGAAAGGUAUUUCUCGGCCAUAUCACAGGCAAAUCCCCCACAGUAGCAGCAAUUUUCUAGAAAAAAAAAAAAACCCCAACGGGACAAAAUUACAUACUACACUGUACCAAUCCGAAUUAGAUAGUACGAAACGUACUGUACAGUAUAGAUUCGUUAUCAAUAUUCAGUACGGAUGGCGUACCGAUACUCCGUAUGAAAAAAAAUAUUGUACAAUAUCGUACCGACACAAUACUAGAGCAGCACCAAUAUGAAAUUCGGUACCGAGACGACCAACCUUGCUGCAGAGUCUAUUAAUGUGAGAGCUUAGGAAUUUAAUUAGGUAUGAUAUUAGUUUAUAACAUUAUUUCUACCAACUACAUUGUAAAUAUUGCAUACCAACUAACAGUUUUCUAUAGUUCUCUUCAUUUCAGAUUAUUUUUAAUUCUCACAAACUGCAAAGCAAAAGCAAAAAUCACAAGAUGCGAUCUUUUCAAAUGGAAAUCUGAAAGAAUUAUGAAGAAAAUUACCCUUUUCCCUAUACCACCUGGGAACAAUUCAACAUCAAUGCCCAUCCUCACGGAUUUCACUCACUCCAAUUCUCAUUCAACGCCAUCCAACUCCAUUUGCAUGUAUACAUAGAGAGGAAAAGCGAAACAGAGCAAGAAGGAUCUAGAGGUGACGGAACGGAGGCCUACCGGAAGAAGAAGUCGAAGGAUCAAGCCCAGGAAUUGUCGAAGGCGGCGGAGGUGAUGGCCUGGGAGAACUCCGGGAAGCUGAUCCGGCCGUCGCCGUCGGUGUCGGCCUCCUUGAUCAUGCCGGUGAGCUCCUUGGCGGUGAGGGCGUGGCCGAGCCUGGCCAUGGAGUGGGCGAGCUCGGCGGCCGUGAUGAAGCCGUUGCCGUCCCGGUCGAACAUCUUGAACAGCUGCCGGAGCUGCUCCUCCGUGUAGGGGGACUUGGCCCGGAGGAGCUCCGGUGCGACGAGAGCCACGAACUCGGAGAACUCCACCAGUCCAUUGUUAUUGGUGUCCGCCUUCUGGAUCAAAGACUCCAGCUGAUCCGGGCUGGACGUCAGACCUAGAGACCGGAGAAGGGAGCCGAGCUCCAGCUGGGUGAGGCUGCCGUCGUUGUUUCGGUCAAACGACCGGAAGAUCUCCCGGAGCUCCGCCAGCUGCUCGUCGUCCAGCUUCACCGCCUCCUCCCUGCCACCGCCUCCGCUGCUCAUCUUGGAUGGUAUUCGUAUUCGAUCUCCUCCGAUUCCCGCACUCGGAUCGCCUCUCAGAGGAGCCGGAUCUGAUGAAUUCGGCACAUUUCCAUCACGCUGUUGAAUCCCUGUUUUUUGUCUCAUUCAAUCGGAAUUGAUUGCUGGAUUCUUUUUUCCCUUCAAGAAACCGAUCCAAUUUGCUUCUGCAACCUACCAAGAUUGGAUCUUUGAAUCUGGGAUGCGAUUAGAUGAUCGAAUUCCAGUGGAUUUCGUCCGAAUUUUGAGUGGAUAAGGAGGCUGAUGAGGUCCCCCUCGGAUCCCGUUUUCCUCUCCUCUGCUUUCGAGACUCGGCGCCCCUUCUUGGCGGAUCUGGAGGAGGAGCCCGAGGUCUCGAGCGCCUGGAGGAGGACGGAUCGGAUCCAAGGGAAGGAGAAAAAGAACGCGUGUAAAGGGGAGGGUUUGGUUUGGGAUUCGGCCUCCUUGUUUUGACGAUGGAAUCGGUCGGCAUCAAACUCCUUAACCGUGGAACAAAGAGAAACAUAAAGAAAAAUAGUAAAGAAAGAGUCUUCAACCGUGGGCGGGACGGCACGUCGCCGCCACCCUGUCGGCGGACUCCGUCAUCCGCCCUGGAGAACUCCGAAAUCCCCGCGGCCCUUGGGCUCUGCUAACCUGCGCCGGCCGGCAGUUCGGCUGCUCUCCGCCGUCCGAUCUGAGUGGGCACCGCUGAUCGUAAGAUGAGAGUGAUGGACUGUCAUCCGCUUAUCCAAGAUGGUAGCUGCUCGGCUGUGCAUAUCAAACAGGAAAGAGCAAACUGGGACGAAUGUUCUGCCGAGGUGGAAAUCAUCCCAAUCGGUCCUGAUGCGCUCCAGGCUUGUCAUGCAAAUUACUAGGGGCUGAUUGAUUCUCUGUCUUUUUUUUUAUAAUUAAUUUGGGUUCUCCCACUUAACAUUUGGAUGAUAUAAGCUGAAGUCUGGAGUCGAGAUUUCAGAAGUCAAAGUACUCAGACUCAAAAUUCUAUUUGAAAUCAAUAAAGUCUCAGUAUCCAAGCACAAACUCGAGUUUGAUAAAAAAAAAAAGUAAGUACUCAAUACAAACUUGAUUUAGACAAAGCUGGUUCAGAAUUAUUUUUUAUUCCAAAACAUAAGCUUCAUGUUAGCCUGAAGUUCGCUCCCAACAAUAUAGCCAUCCCUAUCCUAUCACGUCAUUCCCACAAGCCUCUUAUUCAUUGUCGUUUGAUUAUGGCGCGAGAGCAAGUAAAAAUAAAAAAAAACUCCCAUUAAGUUUAGGGAUAAUCAAGCUCGAAUAUCAACUAAGCUAGACUCGAGUUCAAGCUCAAAUUCAAGCCUUAGCCAUAAUUAAAAAAUAUAGUUAAAAAUUAGAAGUUAAGUCAAAAUAAAAAAUAUAAAUAUUAUAUUUUUAAAAUAUUAAAUAAAUAAUAUAUAUUAUAAUUAAAAUAUUAUNNNNNNNNNNNNNNNNNNNNNNNNNNNNNNNNNNNNNNNNNNNNNNNNNNNNNNNNNNNNNNNNNNNNNNNNNNNNNNNNNNNNNNNNNNNNNNNNNNUUGCAAAUAUUUUGCUAGUUAAGCUCGAUGGGAAAAGCUGUUCGAACUACUUGAGCUCUAUUCUAGCUCGAUAACAAUCGAGCUGAGUUGAGUUUUGAUUCAACUCAAGCUCAAGCAACUCAGGGGCUAUUAGGCUCAUUUAGUCAUUUUCAUCCAUAGGUCAGCCAAUUGAAUCACAGAUGGUAAAAACUAUAUGAGCAUUACUCAUACAUUAAAUUGAACAAAUAUGUUAGGUGAAGAGGUUCAUUGUAGCAUUUAGUGUGAACAAAUUGAAAAUUACCAUUUUGAAAUGCCAUGAAUCGUUUUUUUUAAUAUACUUACACUCCAAUUCCGCUGACAUUUUUGGGAAAAAAUGGUACCAACUAAAUUACAUCUGAAGGAAGAAUAAUUGGAUGUGACUCUUAUUUGAUUAAUUUUUUAUUAUUUAUAUUAGUUGCAGAUAUACUCGUCUUUUUAAUUUGCUUCUCUUGUUUCUAUCCUGGAGCUGAAGAAAAACUAAACGAAGUGUGUUUAUAUUACAUCAAAGAUUUAUUAUAUAUAGGGUGUAAAGACUGGAGAUGCCAAAAGGGAUUACAGGCUUGUAAAACUAUGUGCAGAAUAGCAUGGGGAAAAAAAAUUGCUACAACGAGAGUUGAAGCAAGUCAACUUGCUCUUUUGAUAUAGAACUAGCUUAAUUGAUAAAGUUAUCGAGUGUUGGAUACAGAGAGAUUGGAUUUGAGUGCCACCCUCACCCCUUUUUCAGCCAAAUUCUUUUGAUUGUGUCGAACUUCUCAAGUUCAUUCAACCUCUACAAUUCAAAUAUUAUCAAGUUGUGUAGAAUAAGGUACAUGAUUCAAAUCCUAGCUACUACUGAAAAACAUCAUGAGAAAGGGGCAAGCGCAGAAAAUUCUAAAUGAUGAGAAUGACUUGAUCCACCGACUAGUUUAGCCCAGGCAUAAUUAAUACUCCAUUAUUACAAUUGCCAUAGGCUUGAUUCAUAUCAAGAUACACUGGGAUCCUUUACCUAUAAUGGCCCUGUGCUGAUCCAGUACCUUUCAUCUAUCUACUUUAGUAUCCUUUUUUUUCCCACAAAGAAAAAAAGCUAGUAGUACUCAUGACCUCCUAGAAUUUUAUUAAAAUUAGCUGAAUAAUAUAUUGUAUAAGUUGCUCAAGCGACAUAUUUUAUUACAAUAAGAAAAUCUCACAUUAAGAUAAUACCAUUUGGCAUCAUUUUCAUUUUUUAUUUUAAAAAUAAAUAAUAGAAAUUCUAUUUCAAUUCUUGUUUUUUUUAAAAUAUAAAUAUAAAUAUAUUGCGUGCCUGGUAUUGUAUCCAUGCCCUUGCAACCCCUGCACUCAACUCUUUCAUUGACUUCACCGAUCUUUACGUCUCUCGACCUUUUAGGCCUUUGACUUCUAUGCUCACCUUGUUGUCUUCUGGUUCCUUCUCUCGAGCCUCUACCUCUCUCUCCUCUUCGUUGCUCGCUAGCCCUAGGCAAAGAUCAAGUUCUUCCUCGUGUGGGAUUGGCACCAGAGGAAGAUUCGCCAUUUGUUUGCUAUCCCAACAUGGUCCCAAUUCAUUAAAUUUUGUAUUUUUAGUUGAUAAAAAUGGUUGAUUGGGCUGGAUACCAAGGAUUUCUUGUUAUGGGUUUUUAGCUUCUUUUGUUCAGAUUUUUUGCUCUGGUUGGAUCUUAGUGUGGUUUCUAAUGUCAUAAAUUGCAUGGUUUUUCUUUGGUUUAGUAGGAUCUUAUGUGCCUAUUUUUAAAAAUGAUUUUUUUGAGCUUCUGUUGGUUGAAUUUGACUUUAACCCAUUUUUUGGUGGAUAAAUUUUAUGGGAAGGUUGGUCAACUUUUUCAUUGACCAACUUACCCAUAUACUCAUGCUUAUGUAGGCGACUAAGUUAUUUUUCCACCAGCGGAAAAAAUAACGUUUAUUUGUUCCUAAAAUACUCCUAACUCUAUAAUAAUAUAAUAUAAUAUAAUAUAAUAUAUUAUUAUAAAAUAUAUAAUAUAAUAUAUUAUAUAUAUAUUGUUUACAUAUAAUAUAAUCUAAUAUUUAUAUAAUAAAUAGUAUUAUAAAAAAUAUAGAUAUAUCUUAGCAACUUAUCUAGAAAAGUAGUAAUGCAAGAGAAUACGAGCUAUAGAUUUUGGAGCUAUUUUAUAUUGUAUAAAGAACACAAGUAAAUUAUUUUUCUAUUUAAAUAUUGCUUAAAAAAUAUCUAUUCAAAAAAAUAUAGAUUGCUAGAUAAGUUUUUUAUCCUCUAAAGAGCGGGCCCUAAACAAAGCCCAGUAAGAUUGCUCGCUUGUGUUAUAGAUUUCUUAGAUGUGCUUCAUUAUUUUAGUUUAUUCUCUUACCAUUAAGUAUUUCUUUGAAUUGUUUAUUGAUGAUUAAUGUUUUCUUUGUUAUUUGAUGAGUUUUUGUUGUAAGGAAAAAAAAAAAAAGGUGAUUCUUUUUUUUUUUGCUGAUUUUUGUUUGAUAUCUUUAGAAAUAUAGAUCAAGUGUAAGAGGCGAAAAGUAAUUAAAAGGGAUAACUUUUCUAGCAGUGGUCAGUGGAGUAGAAUUAUACCCUUGGACGUCCACUUGUAGUACCUCCCGGAUGCGUACACGACAAGUCCACCGAAGAUUCGGAGAGCGUCACGUCACAUUAUAUAAGUGGGUCCCACACGUUUCCAAGCUCCCCCACGCUCCGCUGAAUCGCUCUUUUGCCGCAGCGUAACUAAUCGCAGCGAUCACAUGUUCCUACUCCUUUCGGAGUACGCGAUACCGUGACUGAUUACCACAUCCAACACGUCAUCACAGCCGUCCAUCCGCCGAUCAAUGGCUCCCUUCGAAGCCAAAGAAACUGUUAUGCCGUCCGCGUCCUCUCCGAGUCCAACCGAACCUUCUACGCGGGGCUGACCUCGACGGAACCCAGUCAAUCGUCGCCCAAAUUAACACCCAUUCCCCAAAAUAAAUAUCGAAUAUUAAAACUUGUGAUUAAUUAAAUAACCAAACCUAAAAUUCCAGCUAAGUAAAUCUCGUCCUUUGAAAACUUUCCGUUUUAUGUUCCCGAGAUAAGCUUGCCGUCUUAUUUCGCAUUUCAUUCUAUAUAAGAGAAGAAAUACUAAAAAGGAAUUUUAUUUCGCUUCGUUACGCACAGAGCACCAACCCCUUUUCCUCUCUUCCUCUCUUUCGAUCUCUCUCGCGGGAUAACAGCAUGCAGCGGCAAUCGCUCGGGGCGCCGGGGGCCAAGCUCCAGGUGAACGGGAACAGUGACGGAGGGGAGAGGGAAGAGAGGCGGAAGAGCAGCGCCGGAGUUGGGGCGGCGGCGGCGGCGGCGGCGGCGGCGGCGGCGGUGGCGGGGGAGGAGGAGGAUAUCAAAGUGGAGAAGCUGAUCCGAUCGAGCUCGAGGAUGGAGAGAUCCAUCCACCUCAUCCCGGUCCUCACCGUUCUUUGCUUGCUCCUCCUCUACCUCAUCUCCCACGACCCCUCUCCGAAUGGUUCGGUUCAGCUCUAUCCACCGACAAGAUCUCUUUUUUGUUCUCUCCAUCUGCCCAUUUUCUCACCUCUUUUGCCUCUUUCUUUCCAGAAUUGGAAAAACUCGGCGGCGACGCCCAUCUUCUGUUCCAGAACGGUACAAUGCCAACUCCCAGAACCUUCCGAUCGGAUACCUUUUUUUCCGGCUAACUUUUUUAAAAUUCGUUGUCGUUUUUGUAGCGGGAUCGGCGACGGAGAUCGGGCGAAAUAUCGGGGUGGGAAUCGGCGGCGGCGGCGGCGUAACGGCGAUUCGGAGCCAUCGGGGACUGAAGGAGGCGAGAAAACUCCGGCACCGGAAGCUAUUCUAGGAACGGCCCCGCGAUGGCCUCGCACGUGCGACGGCGGUCGGCCGGGGGCUCCGCACGUGAAUAUCCCUGGCUUCGCUUCCGCGGGGACCGGCCGGAGAAGGAUGGAUGGUGGAUUAAUUUACCGUCGAUAUGAAAUUUUUGCUUUUUUUUUAAAAAAAAAUAAAGAUAUGCCGCCGAGGAGGCGUGGAUCCCUUUUUUUCCGUAACAUAUUUUUUAAUUCCAUUUUUCAGUUUAAAUAAUAUUGAUUUUAGUUCCGUUAGGGUCUUGCUUAGUAAAAAAAUGUGCCGCAGGUACUGGGAUCCAUCUAAUUAUUCGAAUCCGUAGGGGUGACAGCUGGCGUGCAUCUAUGUAAGCGCACGGGUGGCUCGGCUCGCACGCGUGGGAGCCGGCGACCGGUUCCGGAGUGCCGCCGGAGCAACCUACGGCUCGUUACUAUCCAGCUGCAUGCGUGGUGGGUGAUGGGAUUUGGUCGGUUAGUCCGUUGCUUAAGCACUAAACAAAUUGGAAUAAUAAUGGCAGGCAGCACGCUUCUUAAAGGAAGACAACUAAUAGUUGUCUUGGCGAAUCUUUUGCUAAUAGUUGUCUUCACCCCAUGUACUAUUAAAAGUUUGGAUUCAUGAUACAUGCACCGGAAAACUUUGGCUUUCAUAAAUAUAGAUUUAACUUAGUUUGUAACCAUGGUGGGCGAAGUGCAAUUCGUCCUCCACGUCCUUUUUCUAGAUUUUUAACUACAGGGGUUUAAGGGGUUUAAGAGAGAUUAUUUGCAAAAUGCGACCGGUAAGUGGCUCAAAUCAGCUGGAGAUUAUAGUGUUAGAUUGUUGAAAUAAUGCGAAAUAUUAAAAGCUGAUGUGAAACAAUGAACAAGCGGAGCAUGGUGAUGCAAGAAUUGUGAGUGUAAUAGUCAAGGAUGAUGAGGGGUUGUGGAGAAAGUGUGGAGGCCAUAGAAAUAUAGGAUCCAAAAAGAUUACGCCACAUUGGUUGAUCAAAAAGAAGAAUAAAAUUAUUAAGUGGACCAAAUUCAUCGUAAAUUUAGAAUGAUAUUAUUAAUGUAAUAGCAACAAAAAAAAAGAAAAAAUGGAGUAAUUUCAUCUUAGAUCUACGGUGGACCUCAUGGCAUCUGGUUCACAUGCAGCCUUCCUCAUCAAGAUGAUAAGCUGAAAGCAUGAUAUUACUAAAGACUGUCAUAGCAAUUUCAAAAUUCCAGAUGAAAUGUCCUCCGAGCUAAUAUUGCCGCUCGGGGGGGGCCUCUUUGUUGAAUUUAAGUUUGUCGCUCUCUUGGUGCCUUUGUGGUCGCCACCGCAAGGAAACCACCCACUUUCACGUCAGUGUUCGCUUUAAAUAAAUAAAUGGGUCAGCAUUUUAUAUUUUAUUCCGAAUAAAACAUGAUCACUUGGUCUUAUCCUAAAAUAGGCAGCUUCCUCGUUUUAGAAAGAAACAAAAGGGAAGAGAUGAAGAGGGUAGAAAAUAAAACAAGAGCAAUUGGCUGAUACAAAAAUCAUUUUCAAGGAUCCUCUUUUAACUAAGAGUUAUGGUGGUAGUUCACUAAUUUGGGAUCCUUUAGCAGCGAUCCAUGUACUGCAAAAUGCCAUCAAUCUAUAGAUGGCUGUUAGAAGAUUGACAGAUAUAACGAUGAUGGCCAUCAAAUAAUAUGCUUUGGAGGCCUAGAGCAUUAUUUUGGAGGGAUACUCAGUGAAGAUGAUAGAGUAGAUUUUACACGAGAGGUCGGGGAUGCUCGACCACCUGCUUUUAGAAGACAUUCGACGUAGAAUAAGAGAGUGUGAUGUUUUUUAGGUUGUACAUAUUUUUUGGAAGACGAACAGAGCUACUGAUUGAGUCACCUUGUUUGCUGCUCAUUAUUUUAAAGAUAUUCUAUGAAUCUGCUUUGUAUCUGUUUCUCCAUCUCUAUGGAGUAUUUUGUCCUUUGAUUCAGACGACAGUGUUCACGCAAGACUAGUAUAAGUUGCCGAUUUACCAAAAAAAAUAAUUAAUAUGCUUCAUCCAUAGCUUGUAAAGUGUUUUAUUUGAUGGCCAUCCAUUUUUUGACAAUGGCAUUCAUACAGCUGAUCCAACGGAUAGACGAGCCCAUCACUCUCAUCUUGACGAACGCUUGUUCAACUCCACUGCACUUUUGGCUGGGCGCCAGCGAGGAGGCUGUGUGUAUUCAGAUAUCUCUCCAUGCUCGUUAAAAAAGGGACUUUGGCGUACGUGAUUUGCCUUUUGUUUGGUCGUUACAUUGUCGCGACCGAGAUGCUAAAUUUUUGCAAAUGGAUCAGAACAAAGUGACCAAGUGGAUCACUUUCCGGAGCCACUUUUUCUAGUCUAAUCGAUGAGAGAUGAGGCACGUCCCAACCCCACGCGCAACCACCGCUACGAGUAUUGGUUCUGAGUUAGAAGGAGACAGAAUAUAAAAAGGGAAAAGACAAACGCUCAUGAAUAUAUGAUUGAGACGGUGCCGUCAAGUUAGCGAGUUCAUGGCUUCGAAGUGGACAUGGAUUUCCAAUUGCAGUGUAACAAACAAAACCAUUUGAGGAUAAGGUCUUUGGUUUUAUGGCAGGAGGCUUUUAAUGCUUCUAUUUGGAUCUAUCAAAUGUGCUGAAUCAUGCCGAAGUUGUACACAUUGUCUGCUUAAUGAGUUCAUCGUUUGCCAUCUAGGCAUGCAGCCCUUCGCACCCUCUACAAUCUCUAAUUUUGACCUUCUAGGCUUGAAUAUGAUUUCAUCGCACAAGGGCUGUUGAUACAAGAACAUAAAAAUUGCAGGUGUAUGAGGAUUUUACUUUUCUUCAAAAGAUUAUAUAAAGAGCAAAUUUGGCCAUUUGUCCACUGCGGCAAGUAUUUGUAAUAACCUCCCCAAUACAUGAAGUGCCAAUAUGUAAUUUAGUUCAUGGAAAUCUAUUUCUCAUAGAUGAUUACGACGACAUCACUGUACUUAGUAGGCCAAUAUGGUGCACCACUUGGUAAGGAUGAACAAACUUCGUCUCAUUAAACAAAUUUUGUAGCCUAGGACAAUCCAUGAUAAGGGUAUGAGGUCAAUAGAGGUGCAUUCCGAUCUGUUUAUAAACAAAUAUUAUACCUAAACUCUUGAACAUGUCUUCGACCUGACAAUGAUAGCAAAGAGCUCUUAACAACAUUAUCCAACUCGAAUACCGAUUCUAUGUUCACUGCUAGGAACUGAAUUCACAAACCAUGUCAUUUUCCAUUAAGCACAAAAUUUCAUAGGAUCAAUCCUUGGGCAGGUGCAGGCUUGUUAGAAUGGUCGCCUGAUGCAGCUGUGGGAGUCUCAGAGAGAUGAACCUUCGCAAAGUCAUUCUCCAAACCCUCGUGUUCCUGCUCAGCAGCAACUUUCUCCUUCGUCUUCGAUCCCACAUCACUUGCAGCCUUGGCUACCCUGUUGAAGGCACCAGUCACCCAUGAUGCCCCGGUGAAAACAUACCUGUUCUUCAUGAUGGCUGACCCAGCAGUGCUGACCUUCUGCUCAGCAGCGGCAAAGGCCGACUUUGUCUUCUCAGAGACCUGAAAUUUCUGAUCCAUUUCCCUGACCUUUUCACUGACGGCAGCAGUUCCCAUGCUGAUUUUCUCGCUCAGCCCAAUCUUCUUGUCAAGGGACGACACUUUGGCACUCGCUGUAGAUGUGACCUGGUGUUUCUCAUCAAAAGCCUUUGCUUUGUUCAGAGCAUCUUUGCCUAAGAUGAAGCCUUUGGCGAGCAUGGUGCUGACAACGUCUUCAGCCUUUCGAACAGCAGAUUCAGCACCAUCAACAGCAUUAGCAUCUUUUGGCUGCAAAGGUUGAGAGUUAUGGUUGAGUACAUUACAGAAUGCCAGAUCAUCUCAAUAUGGACGGACGAAAAUAUUGGAAGCAUGUAACAUAUACCACCGGUGAAGCUGAGGCAGCAGCAGGUAGUUGGUACUCUGCAGCCGGAGUAAUGAUGACCGACAUAUCAACUAUUGUUGCACCCUAUGCCACCACCAAAGAAGUAAAUAUAUAUAUAUAUAUAUAUNNNNNNNNNNNNNNNNNNNNAUAUAUAUAUAUAUAUAUAUAUAUAUAUAUAUAUAUAUAUAUAUAUAUAGAAGAGAAAAAAAUUAAGAAGAAAACUGUAAGUCAUUAAUUUGUUCAAAUUUUCGGGCAUCCAAGUUGAAGAAUGGACAUUCAUCUUCCUUUAAAAACAAUGAAAAAAAAAAUGCAAGCUGAAUUUUUAUAGUUAGAAGGGUACAGGCAAGACAAAAGAAUGAUCCACUCUAUAUAUUCUGAUGCAUCUAAAGAAGAAUAUUUAAUUUGUGCACCUAUCGUUUUCUUUUUUGGACCAAAUAACAUCACCCGAACAAAAAAUAGGCAAAUAUGCAUGCCAGAUACAUGUUACUAGGUCAAGGUUGAGAGCAAAUCAGCAGCCACCCACAGACAAGCAUAGAUAGACCAGUAUACAUUAAAGAUAAAAAAGUAUGAAUUCAAGUCUUCAGCAACAAAUAACUGUGUAAAUAUAGGUAACACAUGACAAUAUUUGUUUUCACUUCGCCAAGAAAAUGGCUACAAACUGUCAGAUGAUAAGGGAUUCAUCAUAUCAAACAAAAAGGCAAUAAUAAGAGAGAAAAAACUCUGCAUUGAAGUCUUCCCAAACAUUUAACUAUAUGAAUAUAGGUAACACAACAGAAUUUGUUUUAAUUUCUCCACCAAGAACAUGUAGUACAAACAGGCAAAUGACAAUGUCAAACAUGAAGCUACAAGAACGCACCGAAAGAAGAACUGCAGUCUCUACUCCUUGUGGUUCUUUAAAGGUGACAUAAGCAACCUGAGACCACUCAUCACCACUGUAAAAGAGACAGCAAAAUUAAUGUGCACACAUCCAAGAAAAUCAAAAUAAAAAGUGAAAAUAGAAGUACGACUGCAAAUCCAAACCAGACCUUUGUAUUUCAACAUAUUCAACGUUACCGGAAAAGGAAAAGAAUUCCUUGAUAUCUUGUUCAGAUGCACUUAAGGAAACAUUGCUGACCUUGACCGUCCUUACCUGCAACAAUGUCAAAAAAAUAAACUGGGAUCAGAAAAUUUUCUUGAUAAUGUUUAUUGAUGUAUACUCACAAAAAUUUGUAGCAGCAAAACCACAAAAAUCUAAUUUCAGGUUUCGUAGAAGUCAGAGCAACGAUUGAAUAAAAAUAAAAUCCUGGGUCAAAUGAAUCUACAUAUUCAAAAGUCAACAUUCAUUCAUGAUUUCCUACAAGGAUUCAUAUAAUAUAUAUCAAUAAACAAGUACCCUCCAACAUUCAGCCAGUCAUACCAUUUAUCUAUACAUAUAUAAAGAUGCUGUUUGGUCUCAGGUUUUACAAGAACAGGUUUACAAAAUCUAAAACAGAUGAAUUUAGCAAAAGUGCUUGUUUGGUCACUAUCCAUAAACUUGGUUGGUAAAAACUGGCAGGUCAAAAAACCUGAACAUGAGCUUUAUGAAAAACAAGUCUCCCCCUCUUUUUCAUAAACCCAGGAAACCAGAUUUUAUGAUUCUGUCCCAGACAACUAAACAGCCCCAAAAGGAAGACUAAUACAUAGAGAACAAGGUGGUUAGAAAUCCUUCAAUACUCUCAACAGAAUAGUCAUUCUCUAAUGCAAGGCCAAAUUCUGAUGAAGUUACUUCUGAGUAAACUAAAAGUUGCCUGCAGAGUUCAGCAUUCACUGCAUCACAGAGAUGAAUAGUAAGCUUUAUAAGAUGAUAAUCAGACUUCCUAAAUAGAAGGUGCCAUGAGGUUAAAAAACUGGAUCAGUACUUCAGACAACAAGAUGAAAGAAAACUCCACAACAAGCACUUCCAGGGGAAAACAAAAGUGUCAACUUUCUGAAAUAAAGUUAUAGGACUGAUCAAUAUAAUCCAUGCACAAUCAAGAUAGAAUCUAACAGAGAAAAAGAUGUGGCUGGAAUUUGGACAAACUAAAGCAAAUAAUUGAGGAAAUAAGACUCACAAACACAGCCCUGUAUUUCUACAAUAAGCUACAUUAUGAUUUAAUGGCAACAGAGCGUCAGAAUGAAAUUCAACCUUCCAAAAAAAUAUACUGACAAGGUUCACGGGUAUCAGUUUAUCCAAUCAAUUGGGUGUUCUAGCGUACACCUAUUUCUACCUAUUUAUCACACUUUGUUCCAUCAUUAGAAGGCUAGAAGUACUGAAACAAAUGGUUCAAUAACUAAAGGAAGGGGGGGGGGGGGGGGGCGGGUUUCACUAUAGCUGAUUAAAUCUAUCUAAUUGGAACUGUCUGACUAUUCAGACACAGGAUGGGUUUUUUCUAUUUCAUGACAACCUUAAGGUGACAGGGUUGUCAACUAAGUCGCAAAAGAAGUGGGGAGAGAAGGGGAAAAAAUUGACACACAUCUUGUUGAUGAAACCUAAAAUUAAAUACGACACUAUCUCAUUAUAAUAUGAUGCCACCAAUAGAAAGUAGCGACUGUUACUUAUGGUUCUCCUAAUUCUAACAUAUAAAUUAAAUGUGCUGUCAUCUUUCCUAUGACAUGAGACAACAUGCGAGACUGUUCUCUUCGUUUUUCUUAUUCUAAUCAAUAUAUGCUCUAGGAUUUGCACAUCAUGAUAAAAAAUGCAGUGUCUCACAACUUAGACAUGAUGAUCAAUUCACUGUUCCUUUUUCCAGAAACUCCAGCUUCCAAACAUAUAACAUGAUAAUCAAUUCAUUGUAAUUUCUCCUCAAGCAAUCCUAUAGAUCUAAGAAUUAAGGUAGUGCGUAGUUCCUGAAGACAUUCCAUAAUUAAGCCAUUAUGAUCUCUAGGUUUAGGCAAUGACUAACUGUGAUUAUGAGCGUCACUCUGGAUGAACUAUAAGAGCAUCCCUGUUGUGUUAUAUGGGUUGGGUAUGGAUGUUGCAUGUGAUAUGUGUAUUUUGUUUGAAUUUAGUUUAUGAUGGACAUCUUAUUCAUAUUUAUCCCUUAUAUCUAUCUUUUCUAGUAUAGAUAGUUACAUCUAUUUUAUACAACUAAUUUCUUGUUUUAUACACCAGUCGGACUAAAAAUAAAUUUUCAUCAAGGGAUUAAGAGCAAAUAUUUGCAUCAACAAGUCCUACAUGAUAAAUUUCCUAUAAAACAUGGACUGAAACUUAAAUUUUCCAUUGAGUGGAUCAAUCACACCCAUCCAUCUCUCACCUUAAUAUCCACGUGUACUGUUAGAUCCCACAUGACACCUUGCUCACACUAAACCUGAGGCACAACGAGUAAUAGUUUUAUCAACAAUACAACCUUCCAACUGGACUGUGUUGGCCCACCAUAAUUCUCCUCCAAAAAUAGUACUAUAGUAGAGCCUUUUAAGAGAAUGUAUAUUUUCAUGUUUAUAUCUUUGAAGCUACUAUCUUAGAUAGACUUCUCGAGUAAAUCAUUUGUUGGAUUGAGGCUGCAACAACCCUUCAUUGUCUGACCUACCUUUUAUAUUGUGCCACAUGUUAUUUUUCAAUUGCAUGUUUUAAAAUUUAGCGGUGCUUAUCUCUUUCUGAAGUCCAUAAGGCUUAUCCAUCUUUCCCUUCUCUCUCCAGUGAGAAGAAACAUGGGAGAAUGAUAGGAUCGUGAUCCCUUGAACAACUCCAUGGGAAGCAAACCAGUCAGCUCCUCACACCAUUCACUAACCCAACAACUUCCCCCGUCUAAUUUAAAGUGAGAUUCCGAGGGUGUUAUAACAUGUCUAGAACUAGUUUUCUCUCUGUUUUUACCCCUUCUUUCUGUAUGAAGCUAAAAAAUUGAAAUUAGACAUUGUUACUGUAUUGGCUAAUAUGCUUGUGGUAGCUAGACGAGAGUAUAAGUGUUUUUGACAUAUAGAAUCCAGCUCUUCUGGUAAAAAAUAUAUUGUCCAUAAUUGGUAAUGAAGGAAUAAGGAAUUACAGUAUUAUGGUCAUUUGGAACUUUGUUUAACUUCUAAAAUAUUUAACUAUAGAAAGUUAUAAAUGUUAUGACUUUAUAAGUGUAUGUUGACUUACAGAAUUCAGCUCUUUUGUUGAACAUAUAGGCUCUAAUUGGUAAUGAAAGGAAUGGUAGUGUUAUGGUCAUUCAUAAGUCAUAACUUUGGUUGAGUACUUAAUUAUUCACUUAUAGAUCAGUUAUAGUUAUGUAAUGAGUGAUCUUGAUUAUGUAAGAAAAUUUUAAAGCAAAUUCACAUCACCUUUAUUACUUCUAAUUAUGUCUAUUAACUUAGAAUUAACAGAUCUCGAAGUCUGAAGUUUUUCUUUAAAAUUAAGAUGUCUAAACCUCUGGAAUAUCUUCAACGAUUUUACAGGCAUUCUUUCCCUUCAAAUGUCAUGCUUUGAUUCAAUUUUCAACAACAGCAUCUUUUCCUUCAUGUCAUGCAAAUCAUUUUGAAGGUCUCGAUAUGACUAGCCAUCAUAUAAUAUGUCUUGCCUGUGACAGUAACCAUGGUCUCAGGAAAUAUGUCACCCAAUGAAACAACUGGAUGUAUAUUUCAAAGUCCCAUGUUCAUUACUACAGACUAAGAGGAGAAAUAUGCUGAGAUGAGUUUCUCAUAUGAAACAAAGACUUUCUUAUUUAUUUGCCGAAGCAAGAACUUCUGCCUUUCACCGAUUGACCGAAUCCUGAUUUCUUAACUUACUAUGUAAUCGUCUUACCCAUGCUAUGGUCUUAAAGUCAUCAAGAAUGAAAUGAUAUCUUCUAACCGUGCAUUACAGCCAUAUCCUUGUUGAUAUCUGGGAAACCAUGGUCUAACACUUUGUAGUUCAAAUGUCUAUCAGCAUACCAGGCAAGCAAUUAAGUAUAAAGUCUUGCCGGAACAUGAGGUCUAGCAAGAUAGUGCAUAAUAAGAUGGAUGUAUAAAAACACAUGAAUACAGGUAGCAGCCCAAAAUAAAAGUUUUCUUUCACCAAUCCUUAGAGCCCUAUUAUCUCAACACAACAUGAAAUCUAUUCGAUUCUGAGGCACAACCCAAGAUCCAAUUAUAUCACUCACUAUGGAUGAAUGGAUGCAUAUGCUAAAUCUAACAUCAUUCAUAAAAUUGACUGCAAGGAUAUCUUUUGUCCAUAACGUUUUCAAUCAUUCUUCCAUAUCUUCUGAAACUAAGGGCUUAGUAUUUGCUUUCAAUUCCAUGUAUCAAAUCAAAACACACAAAUCCACAUAUUCUAUGCCAUAAAACUUAUUUUCAACUCAAGAGAUCAAGAUGUAGAGGUUUAUUUGGCAUAAGUGAAAUUUAGAGUAUAAUUGAGUCUACCUUCCUCAUACAAUACAUCGCUUUAAACAAACCACAAAGAAGUGAUCUACCAGUAGGUAUGCUCAUUACUCACCAGAUUGUUGAAAUAUAUUUGUAAUAUACACAGUGCAACUGCAUUGAAGAUGCCUGAUUAAACUGAUUAAUGAUGUAUUCAUACAUGGUACUCCACAUGGAUUUUUUUAUAAAUGCACCAAAUGAGAAUCGGUGAACAUUUGAUAUGCUAGGUAACCAAGGAAUAGUUGUCCUUUAAGUUUCUACAAAACAUGGGUGACCAAAAGUAAGUCUCCUGGUCCCCAUAUCAAGAGAAAAUUUUAAAGAGUAAAUCUCCUGUGUUCACACAAUCAGAAACAUGUAGAAAUAAGACCCAGCUAAUAAGUGUGAUUUAAAGAAAAAUUAAAGCAUUUACAUGCCAAAAGAACCAAUCAUGGCCACUCCUGUACCCAUACAUGAACUUUUAGAUGAGCGAAUACUAAAACACAUCCAUAUAACUUCAUCCCAAGAAGCAGCAUCAUUUCUAAACUGCAGUACUCAUGGGCACUCCUGUACCUAUAUACAGCUCUGCCAACCGCCGGACCAAGAAUUACUUCUAAUGCAAUUCUUAAAAUUUAAAUUUUAUAUUUGAACCAUAUCAUAAACACAAUAAGCUGCGACAAUUAUAACAAUCGCACACCACAAAAUCUAAUCACAUAGAUCGCACGCUUCAGUUACUAUAAAGUUUCAGUUUCCUGCAUCAAUCUUUAAUUCCUCGAGUAAAAGAUAAAAUCGAAGAAACAUAAUCAACAAAUCUGAACCAGACCCCGGAAUUUCAUAACCAGCCCAUUCCAAAUCAAAUCAAAUAGCCAUUUAUACUUUCAUGAAUCAAACAGAUUCUUGUAUCAAAUAAUCACAACAGAGGCAGACCAUAUUUCCUCAAAAAAAGGAAAAAAAAUCAAGCAAUGCCAAGAAGGAAGAAGACAAAACAACAGCAGAGUCCAAAAGUCCACAAAUAUCCUUUCCAGGCCUAAAGAAAACCGAAAUCAAGGCGAGAGAACCAGUGCUCACCGACAUGGCUGUCGACUCGGAAACCCUAAUGGCUUAGCAAUGAAGGAACAGAAAAGGAUCGAGGUUUGAAGAGACGCGGAGAUUUCUUUUUUUUCCAGUCGUGGAUGGAUGGAUGAAUCGGGAGGUAUUUAUAGGUCGGUUGGGUCGGGCGUGAGAGCCGUGGCACCGCGGAGAGCCGUUUGAACUGCCGUCACGUCCCGCAGCACUGGGGACAAACGGCUUACGGUGCUGACGUCUCCUGCCGUGUAGGUAACGGUAACCUUUUUUUUCUUUUUUUUCUUCCAGGUGGUACUUAUUUCGUUCCUCGGAAAGCCAAGACCAGCGGGCUUCGAGGCUGUACCUUUAAAGAACGGUUGUCACUCGUUGGAAUCGCAUCUUAAAUUAUAAUUACUUUUUUUUUUAAUAAAAGCGGCUGCUCAUCCUAUAUAAUUCUAACGUGAAUACAAACGGUCAGAUCGUAGAAAAGUAAAAAAAUAUAAAAAAGAAGAAACGUCUGAUGCGGACGUCCAAAGGGCAAUAAAGAAGGCGAUCCAAUCUGUUGUCCUGUUCGCCUUCCUAAACACGUGUCCAAUCUCAACAUCAUUCAUCAACUGAGCCAUCCUAUGGAUCUUCCGGAUGAGGGGAUGACCAUCUCCAAACCGAUCCGCCUUCCGGAGCCAGUCGAUAACAACAGAUGAGUUUUCCUCGAGGCAGAUCCACUCCACACCCAGUACCUACCACACAUAUACUUCAACCAUCAAGUGCCUCGAGUCAAUUCCAAUCUUUGUGCCUAAAUCACAUUAGAUGGUGACAGAGCUUUCUAGUGCACUAUAGUUAUUUAUGCCAUUUGGCUGUAUGCUAAAUUAUGAUAUUAAUUGGUGAAUAAUAAUAAUCAUAAUCAAUGAGCCUGAUCUCAUCUAUAAAAAGUGUCAUACUUCAUAAGAUCCUUUGAGAUCAUUUCAAUCAAGGAUAUCAUUCUCCCAUAAUGCAAGUUAGACUAAAACAAUUACACUAGUAAUCUAAGUAGCUAUUUGGAGAGGAAAUGGAGAAAAAGGAGGGUGGAUUUGAAGAUCUCAUAAAUUUCUCAAAUGAUAAAAAAUUAGCAUUAUGGUUUUAGCUGCCUACUAAAUUAGAGGCUAUUUGACAGGAAAAUGAGAAAAAGGAGGGUGGGAUUUGAAGAUCUCAUCAAAUCCUUACAUGAUCAAAUUUUAGCAUUAUGGUCUUAGCUACCCGAUCAAUUAGAGUUAGUAACUAAAUACUAAGACAUAUUGACCAUGGUUAUGACCCUGUUUUCUGAUCUCCUCAAUCACAUUAGAAUGCGCAGUUCGUCAUUCCAAACAGACUUGCUAAAUCAUUCGAAUAAUGAACUUGAUUUGCUUAUUUUCUAAAUCAAUUUAACAAUUUUCCACCUUUCCAUCAUAUUAUUUUUUUUACUUUAUAGCCUUUUAUCAUCCACAGCCAAAAAGGCCAAACAGAAGAAAAUAGGGAGCCCCCAUCUACUCCAUCAUUAUCAACUCUUAAUGCUGAUGACAGCAGUUGUGCCAAUACCAACAACAACGGUGAUCCCAAUGCUGAUAAUAAUGGUGAUCACAGUGUUAAUAACAAUAGUGAUCUAGAUGCUGAUGACAAUGUUGUUCAUGCAGAGUUGCCAGAACCAGUAUCAUGGAGGAAUCAUGCAAGAAAACAAAAGAUGCCUUGUAAAUCACCAUUUAAUUAGGAUCAUUUAAUUUCAGUGAUCAGCAUCAUGAUGUCACUCCCAUAUAUUUGGGUGAUCAAUUUCAUGAUGCCACUCCCAUAUAUUUAAGUGAUCAAUUUCAUGAUGUCACUUCCAUUACCUGCUCUACACAAACAAUGAUGGUGCCUAUGGUAAAACUGGCAUGUAAAGGCAGCAUCUGCUCUCAAGCAUUGGUUAUUCUAUAAGCCAAACAGACCGAGGGGCCAUAUAAAGCAUGAGAUGUUAGAAAGAAAAUUCUUUAUUCAAUUUAUUUAUUUAUUUGGGUGGUGUUCCAUUUGGUGAUGUAAUGCCCGUAUAAUUGGGGAUGCUGUGUUCCAAAAGAAGUCCAUGUUUCUCUUGUUAUAGCUUCAAACAGUUGAUUCUUUUAAUUUAUUAAGCAUGAAGAUAACUUCAUCAACCCACAAUGAGCAGACAUAGAGCUUUGCACCAACAGGACCUAAUAUUUCCCUUGUCAGGAAGAACUUGAUUUCCAAACGAAAGUGAAAACAAUGCAAGGUUAAUGGACCUCAACAACAAUGACAUAGGUAGGUAUAACUGAUGAUAAUACACUCACAAGCUCAAUGUGACCAAAUUCUGCAAGAAGCAAUCUCCAAGGAUCAAUCCCAGUGUCACUAUAAAAUGGAGCAGCAUAUGCAGUAGCAUUCAUGAUUCGAUGUCCUCAACAUGUGUAUUUAAUCACUCACAAAAAAAGUUAUCAUAGCUGCACUGUGUAAUUAAAAUACAUGCAUAUACAAAUCGAUGUCGAGGGGCUGGAUGUCAAAGUAGUCGCAUAUCUAGCAGGCCACAUGAAGAGUGGCUCUCAGAGGACCCAAAACACUAGGGACAUUAGUUGGUCCAAUAAUUUUAGCGAAAAGCGAAAACAACAGCAACUGAUGUACAAGAUCAAAGAUAGUGAGAUCACUAAAGUUCUGAGAGCCCAAAUUGCAGAAAUUUAAUGGUCAAUAAAUAUAAUGUUAGCGGCAACAACAAUGGCCUUUUGCAGCAGUCUGAAACUAUGCCGACCAUUACAAAAUUAGAAUGUUCAUAAGUCAGUCUACACAGGGAAAAAUGAAAAAAGAAUAAGGGUAUACAAGAAGCAGGGAAAAUAAGCUGAACAGGGAUAAGAACAAAAGUUCUUAAGCUCUAACAAAUUCGAUGACUUAUAGUAUUGUUCCGGUAGAAAGUCUGAUAUGACUAGAACUAUUCCUGUCCCUGUAUGAUGACUGCGAACUAAGAUGCCUCCAUUGCUCAACUUAGUACCUGAUUAUUUUGAGGCUGCGCUCUUAAAAUUCACCACUAUAUGUCUCUGGUUUGCUUGAAUAGGUGGUUCACAUUUCCAUCUCUUCCUGUAAACUUGUGUUGAUGCCCACCUAGAAGACAGUUAAUAAAAUAAUUUACUGGUUACUCAUCAAAUAAAUCCAAACUUAGAUGAGCCAAAUGAACAUGAACAUCGCCUAAAUUUAACAAAUUAUGGAAUGUUGAAUAGCACAUGAUCAUAGCAACGUCACAUAACAUCUUGAAAAUUAUUGUUCUAUUGUACCAUUUAACAACAUAUGGUGAAACAUUAACAUUACAUAUUAUAAUCUCAAUGUAUAGAAUCUCAAAAUUUCUCCACUUGGAAUAUGGUAUAAUUUUAAGUUGGAAAUUAAAUGUCUUGGCAUGCUAUUUGAGUAAACAGGAAAGCCAUAUAGUGAAAUUACCUUACAUUUAUACCAUGGCAAAAAGUUAAUAGAGCCACUAACAUUCUUUCCCAAUAAAAUUUAGCCAUUAAAAAAUCAAUUGAUUCAUGAUUGCCAGUCACCAAUAAUUACUUCACAAAACUCAAAGAUUUUUCCUAGUGGCUGUUUUUGAUAUGCAUGGAAAACCAUGAGCUUCCAUUACCACCCAAGCACGACUUCAACAGAGGGAACAGUGAUCCUGAAGGCCACCAGCAAGAUGACAACUCAUUUUAGUUGCCUGUAAGAAAACACGCACCUUGCAGAACUGAUGUAUGAUCAAUUGGAAUGGUAAUUGGCAUGCAGCAGAGAUAACUCUUGUCAGCUAUUAAUGGCAAACAACAUCACAAACAUUCAUGCAGAAGGAGACAACAGCAGCCUAAUAGCCAUGAUAACAAUGAUUCCAAAAUUAGCAGGAUUUGAAUGAUGGUGCCAAUUCCAGUACGUAGAUCUUUCAUGCUUCUGAAAACAAAGUAAUGAUUUUUAUUCUAAAUUUAGAAGCCUUAUAUUUCUAGUCUUAUAAUUAUAUCUGCUCCCCUAGAAGUAUAUUUAUCCGGAACUUUUGAAAAUACCACUGUUUAAUGAAACUAGAAGCAAAAAUGUAUUAUUUAAUUUCAUAUACAUUAGCUCGUUGCAGUUGAUAGUUCCUCCCUGCCUUAGAAGAAGCCAAACGAUAUGGAACCAUAGAGUUUCGCAUGCCUCUGGAGUUUUAAUUGUAAAAAAUACAACCCACUCUUCAAUUCUGGCAGUUGGGAAAACAAUCUACAAAAAGAAUUUUUACAUGUGAUCACUCUAAAAAUAUGUUAUCUGAGUCUCCUACAAACUCAAGGUUCCACUAUUUCGAAUGACUUUGUUGAUGUCGAGCAUCCAAACCAUAGAACAUACAUAACUUAAAAAAAAAAGAGAAGAAAACCAUCCAUUUUUAUUGAAACGAAAACCUAGAAAUCAGAUACAAUCAAGAUAUGAUCUGGCAGUCAAAAUCCUGUCAACUAUAUUUCUUCAUCAGGAUUAGACAAUUCAUAUUACACCAAUCAGUAAAUAUUACAAUUAGCAAUACAAAGUCCAACCCAUAUAAUAGAUAAAAGAUGAGUAGAAAAGGUGAACAUUCCCCAAGUCAAAACACAAUAUAUCAAGAAAAGCACAGAGCAAAAGUUCAUUUAAUUUUUCCACUAUAUAUAGAUAGAUAGAUAUGUAUGUAUGCAUAGCAGGAAAAUUUAUCUCAUCCAAAUGGAUCUAGCGGAAUUCUCCUACCAUCAUUGAAGAGCUAAAUUUUGAUCCUUUUAUUGUGAUUGACAGAACAUUCAUUAUAGAAUCAGUCAAUAACAGGGUAUGAAGUACCCGGUCUCGAAAUAAGGUGGAUUUGGGAGCGAGGGCGGGCAAACUUCCAACUGUCUUCGUCCAAAGAUUUUACCUCCUUCUGAAGUGCGGCCAUCAAUUCCGAUUUCAAAGCUGUAAUGCCCCAGCAAAUGAAUCAAAUCAGAAAAGCAAUCACAAAAAUUCAAGAAAAAUGUAUUGAAAAAUUCAAGAAAUGAGAGCACCCGCUCGAUUCAAGAAGUGUGAACAGAGAGAGGAAACGGGAAAAUCCCUAAAGAUACAAACUUUACGGAAAAGGAAAAGGAGGGUUGCGGGAUUAGGGCUGGCAGCGACCGGAUUGGAUGAUUACCGGCGAGGGCUUCCCCCUUGCGGUCAUGGGCGGACAUGACGUCGGUGGGGAAGUGGUAAGAGGAGGUCUCGUCGCCGAACCCAGCGUUGCCGCUAACACCACCGCCCUGACCUCCGGCGCUCGUCGCCGACGCCGAUGAUCUCGCCGGAGAGCUCAUUCGCCGCGACAGGAGAGCGAACCCGAACCCCGUGGAAAGAUUGGGCUGUCGGCGUCCUUCGGUGAGUUCAAACGCUGGGGAGCCUCCUUCGGAUUGCUGUGUACGGUUAACGAUGGCCGGGCAAACGGCAUUCUGAUGCCGCACACAAACUACGGGACUUAAGCUACGGGCACGUCGCAAUCAGAAAUACUGCAAUUAAAUGCCAAAUUUCCAAAUGAAUUGAUUGCAUAGAAUUGCAAUUUGAACUCUAAAAAAUCUAAAUCUUUAUAAUCAGGAUGAUAAAUAAAAUUAAUCAUAUUUCCAAUUGCAAGAUUUGUUGUAUUUAGAAGAAGCCUUCAGAGUCACCACUCUCCAAUGAAAUUUAACAUUACAUAAUUAUGACAUAUUAAAUGUAUAUUAUUUAUUUUACCAAAUAUAUAUAACAAUGGAGACUUACUAUAAUAAUAUAUAAUUAAUAUAUUAUCAAAUAAAUUUUAUAGUAUUAUAUUACUAUGAUUAUUAUAAAAUAAUCUAAUCAUUGUUUAGUAAUAUUGUUAUUUUUAUUAAGAUUAUAAAAAUAAUAUGAUAAUUACUAUGAUAUAAUAAAAAUAUGUUAUUAUAAUAAUUAUUGUUAUAGUAUUAUAGUAAUCAGUUAAUAUAUCAUCUAAUAGAUUGACUAUUAUUCUCAGACAUAAUAUACUUAUUUAACUAUUAUUAUUACAUCAUAAUGAUUCUUAGUAUAAUAUAUAAAUAAUAUUCUAACUAAUAAUUUUUAUAGUGGUAGUAUUAUAAUGACAAUAAUCUAUAUAAUAUAAUAUAAUAAUAUCAUAUUAUUAAGUAUCCUGUCUCUUUUAGGUAGAACCAAGGGCAAGAAGAAGAAGUUUGGCAUGGUUCGAUGACCAUAGAGGGAGAAGUGCUACUGCUGCACAACAUCUGGUGACUGCUGAGGGAGUGUUGUGCAUUCUAGGCCGGGCACGUGCUUCGUGAGUCGAAUAGAGCUGCUGAUUGGAUUGCCUUUUUUGCUACUCAUCAUUCAGAAAAGUUCUUCUGGAUUGGGCAUGCUUCUAUUCCUCCGCCACUGUACAACCNNNNNNNNNNNNNNNNNNNNNNNNNNNNNNNNNNNNNNNNNNNNNNNNUAGCUGAUGUACCAAAAAAAAAAUAACUGUCACUUGCUUUUGAAUCAGUUAUGAUCUAUGAUCAUGAAACUAUAUGCAAUAGCUAUGAGAAUGCUUGCAUCCUUACUCUUAACAGAGAAUAAUCAAGCAACUACAAAGGCCCAUAAUCACUUUUCUAUCAGGGCUAGCCACCGCCCAGAACCCAAGUCAGAAGAAGGAUCAUGCAAGGCAGGGGACGUGAAGCAAGCCCAAUCGCAUCCAGCAGUGGAAGCAGGGUGAAAUUCUCCAACCUAGGAGGAGCUAAUGCAGGCCACAGAUGUUCAACCCUAUGGUUUGGCAAUUCUAGCUCCAAUUAUACUAGGUUGUAUAUUCUAGAACUUCCAAGAUGCAAAAUGAAAAGUUUGAUAACGUGAGCCAAACUCUGAUCCAACGGUAAUAAGUUCAUUGUUUCACCAUCGAAUUGGUAAUGGUCACGAGUUCUGUUGCUGGAAACUGGACCCGAAGAUGAUCGUGGACCGAAGAGGAGGAGCUCCGGCAGGAGAUACGGCAGUGGACAGCUUUUUUCGGAGGACUUGCAAGAAGCCGGUGGCCGGGAUUUCCGGCGCCGGCCCUUCGAUGCUUAAGUCAGAAGGUUUUUUUUUCUGUGGAACAAGCAGAGAGAUUAUGUAAAAGAAAAGAUCCCCCUUCAGAAGAAAGAAGUCCCCCUUUUUAUAAGAGGGAUGUAUGGAUUACUUGUGACGUGACUGUGCGAAUUAAUGAGUUACCGUAGUAAUUGGACGUGAUCGUGUGAAUUAAUAAGUUAUCGUAGACGACCCAAGAUUUUGAAUUGGCUAGCGGUCCAUUGAGAUCGUGCGCAUUUAAUCGUUGGCAGUCGUUGAGGCGGAGAUCACGAGAUUGAACUCCGGAUGAGGAGAAGGGGGACUUGAUUUUCGGUGGAGUGGAGGAGUCUGCUUCUUCCUUUAACUGGGUCUUCUUUGGGCUUGAGAUCGAUCGGGCUCAACUUAAUCGAGACCAAAGAUGUAAGCUCUGAGGCCGGGCGUGCUGAGGUCGGGCGCCUUGAGGUCGGACGCCUUGAGGGUUGCCGCCGUCGUGCUCGCCAUCAAGUGCCGACAAUAUAUUCACGUGUUUUGAGCAAUCGAGUUUUCCCCCAACAAAUUUAUCAUGAGAUUCAAGAGGAUUCGAAUCCUACCAAUAUUAUUUUGAUGGUGCCACUACUACCAUCAUAAGCCAAUGGCCUUCACAAGGAACUUUCUAGAAGGCUAACUUGCAUAGUAACCAAACCCAAAAUGGAUUUCAUCACCAAUCUAGAAGGCUAACCCAUGACGGGAAAUAUGAUUAUUUUUUUUUUGUCAUUCUAAUUGUUUAUUUUUUGUGUCCACAUUAUGCAUAUGCAGGAGACAGCAAAACUAGUAAUUUUUGAUUUUUAGGUAUUUCCAAUAAUAUAGGUCAUGAUGAAUGAUAUAUAUCUUCGAUUUGGAUAUUCUAUUAAAUUAAUUUUGGAGUUGAGAGGAGCACAUGCCCUUCUAUCUUGAAAAAAACAAAAUCUAUUUUUUAAUAGUUCCACUUUCAGAAAAGAUGGUAAACAAUAAAAAUCUUAGCAAUGCAUUUACCGAUUUGAAUAAAAAUAGCAUAUAACCCGCUUGAUAUAUAAGAUAUAUUUUUUUCCUCAUUUUUUCAACUAUUUUUAAAAUAUAAUUUAGGAGAAUAAUAAAUUAUAAUAAGUAGAAAAGCUCUUCAAUAAUCAAAUUUUCAUUACAUAUUAAUACCAGCCCUAAAUGAUGGAAAAGGUAUGGUUUGUUCUUAUUUUUUUAAUAAUUUUUGAAAUGCAACACAACAGUGUAACGGAUUAUAAUAAAUAGAAAUUUAAAUAACUAAAUUCUGAUUGCAUAUUAAGUAAUAAAUUUUAAUAUUAGUAGAGUAUAAACUCAUGUUAUCAAUAGCGGUGUCUAUAUAACGAAUGGAGAACUCUGCAUAAGCUAAAUUUAUGUGUAAAAAUUUAUAUUAUCAAUAGAGGCAUCCAUAUCAUGAUCGAAAAAGUUUACAAAUCGAGCAACAUUAAAUUAUGAACUUUAAUAAUGGCCAAGCAAAAACUUCUGUUAUUACUAUCUGUAUUCAUAGGCAAACGAAGAACUCUAUAUAAGAGCUUUUACAUGAAAACUUUAAUUAUUAAUACUGGUAUCAUAUUGGUAUUAUCGAUACCGGGCCAUGCAAUCUACAUAGUCCAAUUUUUUUUUCUUUUUUUACUAAUUAUUUUUGAAAUACAUGGCAAGUGGAGAAUUUUGCACAAAUUUAUCCAUUGUAUAUAUUAAGUAAUGAAUAUCAAUGAUGAAUUAGCGCUUUAAUACUGGCAUCUUUAAUAUUAAUAUAUAUGGAUAGAAAAUUAUAUGCUUGAUGAAACUUUAUUUUAGAUAUAUAUAAAAUAGAGUGGCGUUAUAUAAAAUGAACGAUUCGGAUAGACGGAGUGCCGAUUUAUCAAGGGAGCGAGAAGAGGAGAGAGAGAGAGGGGAGGAGGAGGAGAUGGGGCGGAAGGCGAAGGUGGAGUUUGAUGAGAGGCCGCCGGACGGCUUCGAUCCGAGCAACCCGUACGGGGAUCCGGUGGCGAUGCUGGACUACAGGGAGCACCUGGUGAGGGAGAAGUGGAUCCAAAUCGAGACGGCCAAGAUCAUCCGCGAGCGCCUCCGCUGGUGCUACCGCAUCGAGGGCGUCAACCACCUCCAGAAGUGCCGCCACCUCGUCCAGGAGUACCUCGACGCCACUCGCGGCGUCGGAUGGGGCAAGGACGCCCGCCCACCCGAGCUCCAUGGUGCCCCCUACUCCCUUUUUCCUUUCUUCUCUUCUUCUUCUUCUUCUUCUGCUUCUUCUUUUCCGAUCCUUUCUUUUCUUUCCUUUCUUUCUCCUCAUCAAUUGAGUGAUUCUAUUUGUCGUUUUAACUAGAUUUUAAUCUGAACUUGGUGUGUUCUACAGGUCCCAAGAAGGAGUCUGAUUAGUUCUGAUUGUGGGCCUCGAGGUGAGCGACUGUGCUUCUCAUGGAUAUUGAUUCUAUUUCUUCUUUCGUGGAUUUUUUCUAUUUGUUUCCUGUUUUUAUGGUUUAACUGUAGAUCUACUGGUUUUACUUCGACAAAUUUGGUUUAGGGUUUUUUCCGCAUUAUAAAGACUGUAUCUUGGGCGUCUAAAUUUUAUGUAGUCGGUGCCUGAGGCAUGUAGGAUUUGUUUUUCUCGCGUUGGUUCAUUAAAAAUGAGUUCUUUCUUCCUAAUCGUGGAAGCCUGUUAAAGCAAACCUCGACUCUGCUGCUAUUAAGCAAACAUUGUUGACACCCUAAAUCCCCGUCUCUUUCUUAUAUUUCUUCAUAUGAGGGUAAUCGUGUGACAAAUUCUUGAAGUGUGAAUGAUUUUUCUUUUUCUUUCUUUUUAUAUCAAACGCCCUUAUUAGCUCCUGUCUGGACAUACAAGGAGCCGUCAGGUUUCUUUUGCUUUUAAGUGGAAUAAUCUUGCAUCGCUUGCCAUCUUGUCCAAUGACCCUGUUAUCAUCUUGCAUAGUAAGCACUCUUGUAUCAUUAUUAUUCUUAUCACUUAAUUUAUCUCUUGAGAUCUCAACUUAAUACGCUUCUAAUGUCAGUCAGACUAUGAUUUCUAAUUUCUAUCCUCUGCCGCCGACAACUCACUUAUGAACUGUUAUCUUGUCCUAUGACCCUGUUAUCAUCUUGCAUGGUAAGCACUCUUGUAUCAUUAUUAUUCUUAUCACUUAAUUUAUCUCUUGAGAUCUCAACUUAAUAGGCUUCUAAUGUCAUUCAGACUAUGAUUUCUAAUUUCUAUACUCUGCCACCAACAACUCACUUAUGAACUGUUUGUCAAGGCACAAGAUAAGUCCAGUAAAAUAAAAUGGUGAUGAUGGCAAUAGGUCUGUAUGAUUCAUAUAAACAUAAAUAUCAGCAGUCCUCUUUAGCUCUGAACAUGAUCAGCUUCUAAUGUGAGAUUUACUCAGUCCUGUAGCAUGAGCUGCUUACAACUUAAGUUUAACAGCACUUUAUUCAGUAAAAUCCUCACAAAAGAUAAUUUCCAUCAAGCUGUACAUGGUCAGUUAGUCAAUAACAAUUCCUGGUCCAUACAUGCUGUGUAAGCAGCCCAAGAGAUCAUGGUAAAUGAACAACUGGUCAUGGAUAUAUUUUUAUGACUUGCCUUUUCUCUUUCCGUUGUAAAAUGCUGCUCAUAUCUAGCAAAGCAGCAAAGUAGUUUAUCACAAAGGAGACUUCUAAUCUCAUUAAAUUAAAUCAUGGAGAAUGGGUGUCAUAUAUAUUUUAGGAUUUUUGACAUACUUAAACUUAUCUCCCAAUGAAGCAUCACAUCCUAGGAUACCUCGACCCUUCAGUUUAACCUGAACUACCUGCACCAUCAUCUUAAACACCAAUAUCAGUAUGACAUUGACAUGGCUCUUUGAGGGGAAAUUCUUAGAUAUUGGAAGGUUCCAAUACUUAGACAUGAACAGGCUCCUGCCACAUGAACCUGAGUCCGUAUAACAUAGGUCACAUUCGUCAUACAUCAAAUUUGUGCAUCUAGCAUGGGACUUUUUUCGAUGUGACCAUGUUAAUUGACCAAUGGCUAAAUAUUAUUUUACAAUGGUUUAACCAAUUAGUCUCUUACACCAAUGUGCUUGCAUUUGCUUUUACAAAAGUUUUGAUAUUGAGUAAAUUCUCUUAAUAAUUUCCUUCAUGAACACUAAAUUCGUGACCACCUUUAGUGAACUGAAAUUACCGGCUCUUUCAAACCUGUUUGCUCUUUUGCUGGUUCCACAGAUACGAUUUUCAUUUGUUCUCUAAGAUUAUGUUCUUUGAUUCACUCACCGUAUGAUAGUCACUUUUAAUUGUUUUUCAAAUAUCAGAAGGGGGGAAACUAUAUUUUGUUAUUGAUUGUGAAAUAAGUUAGAACUUCAUCACAUUGCCUCCUUUCAACCAAUAAAUUAUAAAAGUGUUCUGCCAUUCAUACAUUGAGAAAUCACAGAUAUAAAUAUUUCAUCUGCCCAAGGAACAAAUACGGUCGAGUACAAUCGGAGGUAACUUUUGUGAAAAUGUGGUGCACAAAACGAAGUGCAGUACAUGCAGAUGAUAGCAAUGCUGAUUGAUGAAACACUGAUUAGGUUAAAUGAUAGAUUUGAACUAUUUGGGAGAGCUUUGGUGCAUUCUGAUCUGGUUUAGUGCUGGAUUUAAACUAUUUGGAAAGCUUUAGUGGAUAUAAUCAGGUCAAGUACUAGAUUUGAACAAUUUGGAAUGGUUUGGUGGAUAAUGCCCUAAAAUCAGUUAAUGUUGUAGUCUGAAAGCAUAAGUGUAAGAAUAAAAGACUGCAUUUGAUGGUCUGUGACGAUGACAAGUCCAGCAACAAUUUAGGAAUAGAAAAGACCGCUGUUAUGGUGCUUGCUUGUUCUUCUGGUCAUCUUCUUAAUCAAAAUGUGUGUGCGUUUUGUGUCUUGGAAUGCUUGUAGAGUUGAAGAUUAUUUAUACUUAAGAAAGAAUAGUUUUUACAAUUUAUUGGGCGAUCCAUCCACAUGCAUCAAUUUGGGUUCAUGUCUUUCCCCACUUUCUUUUAUGUGGAAGGCUAAACAGAUUACAUCUUACAAAAGAUCCUGGAAGAACUCGACCUCACAACAUUGAUUUAUUCAAAUGCGGUUAUAGUUAGCAGGUCUUAGCAUUCUUUUGUUCAACAUGGUUAUGUCGUACAUAAGGAAGAACCUGCUUGUUUGGUUUGUUAUUUACCAAACAUGAAGGUGAUAUGUUAUCAUUGUGCAUCAUCUUUUCCACAUCUAAUGCAGUCUAUUCCUGGACUUCAAUCUGAUAUGGAAUUAUGGGUUUGAGGUAUAUGAGAUUCUCUGUGAGGAUCACUUUUGCUUAUGCUGGAGGUAUUAGACAAACAAACGAGAAUGAUUGACAAGGAUGUCUCCAAUAGAAUUGAAGCAAGAUGGAUGAAGUGAGAAUGCACUGUUAAAGUGCUUUACCAUCAAGACUUGACAUAUUACAUGAUUUUGAUAAGACCAGCUUUAUUUUAUUGGGAUUUGAAUGUUUGAAGAUGAGGAAGCCAGAUAAGCAUGAGCUCGCUAGAGAGCAAGAUGUUGAGGAAGAUGAUAAACUUGGUGAAGGUUGGGAGCAUCACCGAUAUGGAUGAAGGUUAUUAUCUUUAGAUUGCAUACACAUGUUUAACAUAGGCUUCGAGGCCUUUUGAAAAGGGUGGUCUCGUUUAUAUGCUGGAACUUAGGGAAAAGUGGGUGCCCAGUGAAAACUUGAUGAUAGCUGCAAAACAGCAAAAGUCAUGGUCCAUGUCAAUGGACUUAGCUUUGGAUGAGAAUUUAUGGUUGUAAUCAAUCCUGAAUGAAUGGGUUAGGCUUGUGUAUGCAUACACACCAUGCGGACAUCUGACCAUGAUUAUAACAAACAUUGUAUCUGAUAGCGGGACCAAUAGCCAAUGCAUAGUACUUCUAGGUCCAAGUUCCUUGACUGUCGAAGUUGCCCCAGCCAUUUAAAUGGACUGUCUCUUUGAUGUAUCUGUCUGUUGCCAACGUAUUUUAAGGCAAUUUCUCAUGAUUGAGUUUUUAUGCCUGCAUCAGAACUGUUGAUUCCACUGCAGUAAUUGUUACAUCUAUUAUCAGUUUUAAUUGGAAAAUAUUCUAAUGUAGUAUUUACUGUUGAAAUGGAAAGGGAUAUUACGCUACCACUUGCCUCAAAAUUAAACACGAAGCAAGUUUGCGGUGGGACAUAAAUGAGAAGAUAAUUCUUGUGAGUUUGUGCUUGCAGGUGAUGCAGUCUCAGGGUAAAUUGAAAAUGAGAGAGCUAAGCUUUCCAUUGCCUACUCAUCGUUGGCUGGUUUGCUUUUAUUCAAAUUAUGCACCUGCAGUCCCUCUGCAGAUGUCACUUCUUGAUUUUUCAAUAAUGAAUGUUAUGGAGAAUAUAAAGUGUUCUCUUAUGUACCUUUGUUCCCUGAUGUUUAAAAAAUCAGCUAUUCACAGAUGAAGGUUGCUUUAUACCUGCAACUCCAUGUAUUCUGCUUGUAUGUUUUAAGCUACCGGCCAGGUUCCUUUAAUGCUUUGAUCAUGCCAGUCUCACUGUCGUAGGGUUGAGAGCAGCAAUUGAUUGACCUAAUCGGAUGAAUCAGGAAAAUGGCAACCCUUUGAUGUUACUCCGGUAUCCAUCACCUAAGUUUGUGGAAGUGGCACAGCUGAUGCACAAAAUGUCAGGUAGAUCUGAUAACAAGUGAAUCCUGCACAAAUAGAAACCUUGUCAAUUCAUGGAUUUUGGUUCCUUCUUUAUGGCCAAACAGUGGCACCUCUGUCUUUAUCCAUUUGGGUUCCAUGAGAACAUAGCCUGCUCGGUUACAUGUCUGACUUGGAGCUGAUGUCGUGUCGUAACCCAUGAAUGACCAAAUCCAAUUUUAAUUGCACCAAUCUCCUACCAUUUUUCCCUCAAAACAUUUGCACCAAUGUCCUGCCACAUUGGAUGUGUAAAUGAGAGGGUGAGGCAGUGGUUCUCCCCGGCAUUAACUGGCUCCAGUUCGGUGCAUACAGAAAGCCAGAAUGCUAUGAAUCGGAUCCACUAAUUGAGUGCGCGUACAAUUAUUAGCUCUUAUCUUAGUCAUUGGAAUUUUUUCCCGAGAGCACUAUUGUUUAACUGAUCUUUGGAGUGGAUUCAAAUAAUCAGGGGUCAUCACCAGAUUUUUCAUAUUACAUAUCUCCCCAACAUCUGCGUUCGCCUUCUCUCCAUUAGAUCUCUGAUAACACCAUGCAUGUGUGACACGUUAGGAGAAAUAGUGCAUGCUUAUAUAUUCUGAAAAGGAUUUAGCAAUUUUAGUAUCUGAGAUUACAACUGAAUAGAAAGAUUUGGAUAUCUAAUUCUAUCAAACAUAUAACAAACGGAAACAUGGAUCCAUAUAUUAACUAUCUGAUCACAAAAUAGCUGUAACUGAUAGGAUAUCCAGAAAAAAACACAUACUGGCUCAUGACCUGUUAUGCAAAACAUAAUCCUAGCUGGAAAUCUAGUUGCCCUCAUUUGCCUAGGCAAAAAUUGUUACGACUAAUGGAAAAAUAACACUCUGCAUGUUUAUCUAUCAGCCAUAUCAAUUGCUGUCACACUUGCAUUGUGGAAAAAGAAUUAGAAUACUAAUGUCCAGCCCAGUAGAAAAGCCCAAGCAGCCCCAAGGUUCCUACCACCUUCACUAUGUAUGGAAAGUAUCAUCAACUAGGCCUUCUGUGGAACAGCACUUGGCGACAAAAGGGUGGCUUAGGAGCUCCCCCACCGUCCCUCUCUUCCUCCAGUCCUUCUCCAAGCACCUUCCCAAAAAGCUCCGGAACUCCGGCGAGGCAGCAUCCGGCACCGCCGGUGGGCCACCAAAGCAAACGACGCACAUCAAGGUGGCCCAAUCUGGUCGCUCCCCUGCCUCCACCAGCGGAAACCUGCCUACAAAGCACUCCAACAGCACCACCCCAAGGGCCCAUAUAUCACCGGCGAACCCUCCGCUGUCGCCGAACCCCUCCGAGUCGAACCGUUCUGGGCUCAUAUAUGCGCAUGUGCCUGCGCAGGCAUCAUCGCCACCACCGGAUGAAGGCCCCAUUGCUGCUGCCACCACCCGGCUCGCCCCGAAGUCGGCAAUCUUCACCUCGCCAUGGCUGCCGAUUAAAAGGUUUGAGGGCUUGAUGUCACGGUGCACGACACCCAUCCCGUGGAGGUAGCGCAGGCCCUCCAGCACCCGCCCUGCCACCCCGGCGAUGAGCCCCUCCGGCAGCCUCCGGCGAGCUCGGAGAACGUCGUGGAGGGAGCCGCCGGCCAUGUACUCCAUGACAAGGCAGAGACGGUCCUCACCGCCUCCCUCGAGCACGCCGUGGCAGCGGACGACUAAGGGAGAGUCGACGCGCGUCAGGAUGUCGGCCUCCCGGGCUGCUUGGCGCCGGGCGUCGGCGGCGUUGGGGCCGAAGCGAAGGACCUUGAGAGCGAAGAGGGAGUUGGUGCGGAGGUGGCGGACCUUGUAGACGGUUCCGCUGCUGCCAUGGCCGACGACCGAGAGCUUCUCGAGGUCCGAGAGGCGGUCUACGGUCCCUGGGGAGUCAGAGAAGUGGUAGGGAAAUUCCGGCACCGCCACCGGUGGGGGUGGCAAGGGAAGUCUCAGUGCUUGUUGGUGCCUCCUCUCUCUCACCAUUGUCAUCUCUCUCUCGCCUCCCUUCCCGUUUGGGUGCAUGGCGUGCAGAAAUAUAUAGCUAAAAGCGAGUAGAAAGCGCACGUGCGGAGGGGGAGGAGUGUUUGGUUGGCGACACGUGUGAGGGAGAUCCGAGGUUGGUGGGACGGGCGAGCGCUUGGUGGUGACGUAAGCGGAGAUCUUGGCUGAGGUCUUUCUUGUCGUUAUCUUUGUUACCCACACGACAACGUGGGUGUCGCAGGAUUAGAAGUCCGUUAGCAACAUCGCCCAUCCAAUCAACUAGUGCCACGUAUCAGUUCUGAAAGUUUUGAAGGUCCCACUUAAAAUCCUAAAUGAUUCAUUAAAUGGUUUCAGAAUACAAGUGUUUUAAUUAAAAAAAAAACCAUAUGCGUACCAUUCUGCUACAGUUUGUACAGUGUUGGAUGAACAAAAUAAUGAUUGCAUGGAAUUCCAGCCUACUAACAAAACAACACAAAUAUCAGAAAGUGACACACAUUCUUCCCCAGAACCUAGUAUAAAUGCAUUAGGCUUCUCCGGAUAAAACCCUCGAAAUUUAUUAACAUUGAGUUUUUGUGAAGAAAAAGAUAGAAUCUCUCCACUUCUAGGGCUGAUUUUUACUAUUAGAACAUACAAAAAUUAGCCAUAUUUAAUUUUGGUGGCCUGUGGUCCGGCUUGUGGUGACUGGCAAUCAAUGAGUUCGCAUACAAGAUGAAUAAAUGAUAAAUUACCUAUAAAAAUGAUCUUCGAACUCUAAUUUUGCACCUAAAAUUUGUCUCAAGAGGGUGGAAAUAUUUGCCUGCAUCUUUUAAAUGAAUGGUUGAACCAUAAAUAUGUGCCGAUUAGUUUAACUCAAAGGUUUCCUUCUAGACAAAGAUUACAUGAGAUGAAGAUGACCGUCUCGGUGGAGCUUUUCAUUGCAGGGAAAUAAUCCCAAGACAUGCAGACUGAAACAACUUUAAUCAAUCAUAAUGGGAGUAUCAUAACUCUGGCCUCCUGCACUAUCAACUACUGGAGAUGGGAUUUCCCCGCGGAGGAUCCGCACUUGGAACUUCAUAUUCUUAUGGUCUGUGAGUUCAAAGACGCAACCAUCUCCAAUCUUUAGAUUGUUGUCGAUGGCAAACUUCUUCCACCCUCGGUCAAAUCGCUUCAAGGAACUACUCCCACAAUAUCUCAUCUCCCAAGUCCUCCUCUCGCAAGAGAGGAACACAGAAACAGAUUCGGAUGGAAGUAACGAACAGAACCUCCUUGGAACGGCCUACAUAACAAAGGACAACGUCAAACUGAAGUACAUCAAAACUGAAGGAAACAGGUGCUUAGAAAAUGCCUGCAUAAUUGUCAAACCAUACCAACAAAACCUUAUCCCAUAAACAUUUUUUUUAUUUUUAUAUACAGCAACAAGUUCAGGACUUAGGGCCUAAGAAAUUGUUAAGUUUUGGAACAACGAAUAUAUGAAAAAAUUUAGCCAGAAACUGAAAAGUCAGAAUAAAUUGAAAGGGCUUAGUAAAUAAACUUGAUGAUAGAUGAAGAUGGAAGGCGCAGCAAGAGCAGAAAACAGGUCAGAGCAACAAGGAAAAAAAUGAUAGCAAUGAAAAGCAACAAUUAACAGAAACAGAAACAAAAAUGCAGCAACCAUUCAGGGCGCAUUUGAGUGUGCUUCUCAUUUUUCCAAAAACAGAAAAUUAGUGUCCAAAUGUACUUCUGUUGACAUUGUUUCUUUCUUCUUCUUGUUGUUGCUUUUUAAAGCCAGUGACAAAAUUUUAGAAGGUUCGAGUGCUAGAAGCUUUUUACAAUUCAAAAAAGUUCAAAUAGAAACAAAAUACAAAAGGGGAACAAGUCAAGAAUGGAAACACAAUCAAAAGGGACCCUGAUAGUUCUUUCGACCUUUGCAACAUUCAUUGUUAAUGAAUUAUCUGUGAAAUUCUCAGAAUUUUUUGCAAAAGAAAUUCAGAAAAUACAGCAAGCAACAUGAUGAUAAGAAUGGAAACACAAUUAAAAGGGGUCCUCAUAGUUCGUUCCAACUUUGCAACAUUCAUUGUUGAUGAAUUAUCUGUGAAAUUCAUUCUCAGAAAAUUUUUCAAAAAAAGUUCAGAAAAUACAGCAAACAACAUGAUGAACUAAAAGAUCUCAAUACAUAUAUACAUACAUACCGAAACCAGUGAUAAGCACUUUAGUCUAAGGAACCAUACCAUUGAUUAUGGUCUAAAAAAAUCUGAAAAUAUCUAACAAUCAAAAAACAUGUGAUAUCAAGAAAUCUUUUAGUUCAUCAAUUGAUCCAAAAAAAAUACAGUUUUAUUGGCUUGAUGCAGUGUUUUGAAGUGAUCCAUGGUUUAGAAGCACCCAAACCAAUUGAAUUUUGGUUCUUACAUGAUUUAAGAUGUGUAGUUAUAAUUAAUGGUGCAGAUCCAAAACUUACGUCCAUUAUAUUGCAAUAGCACUAUUGGUACUAGGCAUCUUGUAUAUGAGUAUAUCCACUUAGAGUGCUUGCUUAAAAGACAUCUGAUUUGCAUGAUUUUUUAUUUCUAGGUAUCCAAGACAGAGUUCCCUCUAUAUGCACGCACUCACAGAUAUAUACACUAUAUUAUUAAAGAGUGUAAUUUAAUCUCUGGGUCCAUCAAGUUUCGGCUACAAUGGGAAAUCAAUUAGUUCACAUGGAAAACUUUAUCAUACGAUUAUUAUCACUAUGGGUAGUUUUGGAAUGCACUUUUCAUCUCUCUCAGACUUUCUCUCUGUCUAUGUUAACUAUUCAGCCAAACCACUCAUUAUUAUAGACUAUAUUUAGAUUUUAAUUUUACUUUAUUAUCUACAUAUUUUUCAUAUUUUUUACUUAAUAUUUUUAUACCCUUUUAUUUUCAUAUUUUAUUUUAUCUUUUCCUCUCUUUUUUUACAAAAAACAUACAUUGCAUGCACCUACAUACUAGUAUGUAUCCAUGUAUGUAUACGAAUAUAUGCAUAUAUGGAUGUAUAUAGAGAUAUUAGUAUAUGCAUAUUUACAUACAUACAUAUGUAUGUAUGCAUAUAGAGAUCGAUGGAAGUUCUUUUUUUUUGUUGAUGAAAAUAUAUGCAAAUAUGUAAAUAUGUACAUAUUUGCAUGCAAGCAGACAGACAUAUACAUAUAUACAUAGACAUACAUAUAUUCAUGCAUGGGUAUGUGCUUGUACAGAAAGCAUGUACAGAAAGCAUUACUUGCAACCUAACACUACAAAUAUCAACACCACGUCGAUCAAAACUAUAAGCAACAAAAUCUGCCUAGCCUUCUGUUUUCUCACGUCUUUACUAUAUAUGCUCACUCUCGUGAAUGAAAAAAGCACAAGUUUAAACUAUAAUAUCACUAUAAUCAUUGCAAUUAGUAGUUCUUUCCAGUCGUUCAGAUCAAACUAGAAAUAGAUGAAAGAUAAUUCAUGUAAGCAUCUCAUACAGCAAUUUAGGCUUCAAGAAUACCAAAAUGUUACCAUAUUUCCUAACCAUUUUUACGAGUAUUGCAUCUUAAAUAAAUAAAAACAUGAACAUGAGAAGCAGAGCAGAAAAAGAUUUGGUCUCAUCACAAAUUAUGGCUGUAAAAUAGAUAAAAUUACCAGUUGAAAUGGGGAUUGAGUUUGAGAUUUUGAAACAAUGCAUGUGAAAUAUGGACUUCCUGAAAGUGGAACAGCUUCAUCUUGCACUGCAGGUGUGAUAGGCUCUGUUUGUAUUUGUUGAGGGGCAUGAGAUCGGACACUACUUUCCCCAUUCUUACCAUUGUUAGCUACUGGAUAUUGAUCUGCAUGGUCAUCUUUGAGAACGAGUCAACACAAGAUAUAAGAUUGGCAACUCAGGUAGGAUAGCCAAAUAAGCAAGCUGCUCCUCCGCAGCUAUUUUUCAGUUUCGGUUUGCAACUCAAAGAUGUUUGCAAACAGCUUGAGUUCAGCUUGAAAUUAACAGAGCUGGCUCCAGCUUGGCUAAAUAGGUUGUAAGUAAAUAGUACAUGAUGGAGCUCGAGCAGAAAGGAUUGAUUCGUUUAUCAGGGGGGAAGAAUCUAGGGUUAGUAACUAUCAAUAAGUUAGACCAACUUUGUAAGUAUAUCCUCAAUCAAUAUAUAAAUCGAAAGGUUCAAAAAAUCGAAAUAUCAA
This 38792-nucleotide long non-coding RNA is filed under the name Phoenix dactylifera (date palm). RNAcentral's name for it is "long non-coding RNA (PDAC_LNC007609)". The record is from RNAcentral. Lineage: Eukaryota; Viridiplantae; Streptophyta; Magnoliopsida; Arecales; Arecaceae.